Molecule: long non-coding RNA, 438 nt
Filed under: Mus musculus (house mouse)
Lineage: Eukaryota; Metazoa; Chordata; Mammalia; Rodentia; Muridae
Description: predicted gene 28108
Source: RNAcentral
GGCCUUGCUCUUAUGUCAUCUGACUAAAAGUUUCAUAGACCAAAGAUAACCAUCCAACCUGUUGGAAUACUGAAACAAUUGCUGCCUGCUUUCCACACACUACAUAAAAUAUGUGGAUAUCCUAAAUUCAAAAAAAAAAGAUUUGUAAGCAGAUCAAGCAAUACUGGGACUCCCUCUUCUCCAGAAGAGACAUCCUGGCCUCCAUGCAGAGGAAUGUGUGGAUGGACAUAUAUUUAAGGAAGACACUAAACCAGAAAAUACUACAUUACACCCUCUUAAAAGACUUCUAAGAUUGUUGUCAUGCCUACCACUGACAUUCAGAUGAUGUGUAUUCUUGAUUGUGAUUUCAUGUUUGGAGCUGAUGAAGGAGUUUGAAGUCUCCAGAGCAGCAAGGAGAGUGGGGAGUAGAACUCAUCAUCUUUAGGUCACUCAUCCCCG